GAUGAACGCUGGCGGCGUGCUUAACACAUGCAAGUCGAACGGUGAACACGGAGCUUGCUCUGUGGGAUCAGUGGCGAUCGGGUGAGUAACACGUGAGCAACCUGCCCCUGACUCUGGGAUAAGCGCUGGAAACGGCGUCUAAUACUGGAUAUGUGACGUGACCGCAUGGUCUGCGUUUGGAAAGAUUUUUCGGUUGGGGAUGGGCUCGCGGCCUAUCAGCUUGUUGGUGAGGUAAUGGCUCACCAAGGCGUCGACGGGUAGCCGGCCUGAGAGGGUGACCGGCCACACUGGGAUUGAGACACGGCCCAGACUCCUACGGGAGGCAGCAGUGGGGAAUAUUGCACAAUGGGCGAAAGCCUGAUGCAGCAACGCCGCGUGAGGGAUGACGGCCUUCGGGUUGUAAACCUUUUUUAGCAGGGAAGAAGCGAAAGUGACGGUACCUGCAGAAAAAGCGCCGGCUAACUACGUG
RNAcentral lists this ribosomal RNA (469 nucleotides) under uncultured bacterium. Its description in RNAcentral is "partial 16S ribosomal RNA". It matches the Rfam family "Bacterial small subunit ribosomal RNA", at positions 28 to 507 of the family's 1533-position model. The record is from RNAcentral.